RNAcentral lists this ribosomal RNA (457 nucleotides) under uncultured bacterium. RNAcentral describes it as "bacterial SSU rRNA". It matches the Rfam family "Bacterial small subunit ribosomal RNA", at positions 338 to 795 of the family's 1533-position model. The record is from RNAcentral.
CCUANGGGAGGCAGCAGUAAGGAAUAUUGCUCAAUGGGAGAAAUCCUGAAGCAGCAACGCCGUGUGAAGGAUGAAUGGCUUUUGCUUGUAAACUUCUGUAGAAGGGGAAAAAACCUCCACUCUGUGGAGAUUGAUGGUACCCUUAGAGUAAGCCCCGGCUAACUACGUGCCAGCAGCCGCGGUAAUACGUAGGGGGCAAGCGUUGUCCGGAUUUACUGGGUGUAAAGGGUGCUCAGGUGGUUUUGUAAGUCAGAGGUGAAAUCUCAGAGCUUAACUCUGGAACUGCCUUUGAUACUACGGAACUUGUGUACGGAAGAGGUUGAUGGAAUUCCUGGUGUAGCAGUGAAAUGCGUAGAUAUCAGGAAGAACACCAGUGGCGAAGGCGGUCAACUGGUCCGGUACAGACACUAAAGCACGAAAGCGUGGGGAGCAAACAGGAUUAGAUACCCCANUANUC